AACAAGGGGAGACAACC
Molecule: unclassified non-coding RNA, 17 nt
Filed under: Mus musculus (house mouse)
Lineage: Eukaryota; Metazoa; Chordata; Mammalia; Rodentia; Muridae
Description: oocyte_clustered_small_RNA9013
Source: RNAcentral